GGAAGGAUCAUUAACACUGGUCGCUGUGCUUGCACACGACUUGCCAAACCGCGAACCUAAUUGUAUCGAAUCUAGUUAAUACCCUCUUGGGUUUUAACUUGUAUUCGGGCCGUCCCGUCCCGUUGGUUUUGGGUUGGGGGGGAGAGAGCUAGUCUCUCUCUCUUUCCGCCCCAAUGAUCAAAGGCAAGGCGGGCUCCGGCAACUUUUAUAUCUCACAAACCCUUUGCAUGAUGCUUUACUCUGAUGAUUCGUGAUAAGGAUGGCGAAAGCCAAACCCUUUCACAAAAUGAUAACCAAGAAACAACUCUUAACAACGGAUAUCUUGGUUCUCGCAUCGAUGAAGAACGCAGCGAAAUGCGAUACCUAGUGUGAAUUGCAGAAUCCAGUGAAUCAUCGAACCUUCGAACGCACUUUGCGCCCCUGGGUACUCCCAGGGGCACGCCUGCUUGAGUGCCACCUAACUACCUCAUCCAACUGACUUGUUUACUCAAUGUUCUUUUGGAUGGAGUUGAGCUGUCGAAGCCUCUCUUUUGGGGCUCCGUCGCUUGAAAGUUAGUGGCCAAUCAAGAGCAUUACAAGGCCUCUUGUGCAAGCGUGGUACGCCUUUUCAAAGGCAUUCCGCUUGUACCUUUGCUUUAUUGUCUUACAACAGUCUUCGGAUUGCUUAAGGCAGUAAGGGAGAGGAUCUUGUAGUACUCGGCCAAAUACCCCACAGGAGAUUAUUUGGAAUUUUUCUGGGUUAACCCCCGGGGACUUUCUUAAAUACCUUUCUUGGCCUCAAGUCAGACGAGGUUACCCGCUGAAUUUAAGCAUAUUAUUAAGCGGAGGAAAAGAAACUAACUAGGAUUCCCCCAGUAGCGGCGAGUGAAGCGGGAAUAGCUCAAGCCGAAAAUCUGCAGGGUUCCCCUGCCGAAUUGUAGUCUAGAGGAGCGCUUUCUGGGAUCUGCCGGGUAUAAAUCCCUUGGAAAGGGGUAUCAUAGAGGGUGAUAAUCCCGUCUGUGACUCGGAAUAGGUUCCUGUACGAUGCGUCUCCAGCGAGUCGGGUUGUUUGGGAUUGCAGCCCUAAAUGGGUGGUAAACCCCAUCCAAAGCUAAAUAUCGGCGAGAGACCGAUAGCGAACAAGUACCGUGAGGGAAAGAUGCAAAGAACUUUGAAAAGAGAGUUAAAUAGUGCUUGAAAUUGUUAAGAGGAAAGCGAUUGAGGCCAGUGUUUUACCUGUGCUGGAUUCAGCGGUUGGUACCGAACCACUGCGAGCUAGUGACCGCAAGGCUCUACUCGUAGCGCGGGAGGCUUCAUCCGUGUACUUCCAGUAUAGGUAGGCCAACAUCAAUUCUGCUGGUCGAAUAAGGCCCUAAGGGAAGGUAGCAUCUGCUUCGGUAGAUGUGUUAUAGCCCUGGGUGUCCUGCGAUCGGCGGGAUUGAGGAUUCAAAGCAUGCGCUCUGCGGGUACACCUGUCGCCGUGGUUGGUUAUGAACGGAGAGUGCUUGCACUGUCCUUUGUAACUGGCUACGCCCGGCAGUCUAGCUCCUGCAUGCUCGGGAUGUUGGCAAUACGGUCUUAAUCGGCCCGUCUUGAAACACGGACCAAGGAGUCUAACAAGUAUGCGAGUCCUCGGGUGGCAAACCCAUGGGCGCAGUGAAAGCAAGCACGGUGGGAUCCUUUAUCGGUGCACCAUCGGCCGACCAUGAUCAUUCUGAGAAAGGUUUGAGUAUGAGCAUACAUGUUGGGACCCGAAAGAUGGUGAACUAUGCCUGACUAGGGCGAAGCCAGAGGAAACUCUGGUGGAGGCUCGAAGCGGUUCUGACGUGCAAAUCGAUCGUCAAAGUUGGGUAUAGGGGCGAAAGACUAAUCGAACCAUCUAGUAGCUGGUUCCCUC
This 1876-nucleotide unclassified non-coding RNA is filed under the name uncultured fungus. RNAcentral's name for it is "sequence contains 18S rRNA gene, ITS1, 5.8S rRNA gene, ITS2, 28S rRNA gene". The stretch from base 773 to 1876 matches the Rfam family "Eukaryotic large subunit ribosomal RNA", at positions 1 to 961 of the family's 3401-position model. The record is from RNAcentral. Lineage: Eukaryota; Fungi.